UACGAAGGGGGCUAGCGUUGUUCGGAAUUACUGGGCGUAAAGCGUGCGCAGGCGGCUUCUCAAGUCAGGGGUGAAAGCCCAGAGCUCAACUCUGGAAUUGCCUUUGAGACUGAGUGGCUUGAGUACGAGAGAGGUGAGUGGAAUUCCCAGUGUAGAGGUGAAAUUCGUAGAUAUUGGGAAGAACACCGGUGGCGAAGGCGGCUCACUGGCCCGGUACUGACGCUGAGGCACGAAAGCGUGGGGAGCAAACAGG
This 253-nucleotide ribosomal RNA is filed under the name uncultured bacterium. Its description in RNAcentral is "partial 16S ribosomal RNA". It matches the Rfam family "Bacterial small subunit ribosomal RNA", at positions 524 to 776 of the family's 1533-position model. The record is from RNAcentral.